AUCCAUUAAACCACAAUAGGCUUUGUGCUUUGUUACUUUUGAUAAGAAACAAAGUCUUAGAUUUGAAUUCUGUCCAUCUUAUCUUGAAAUGUCACCAAUAAAUCUGACUGUGGUGCUCUCUAUCUAAUGCAGUGACGAUCACGCAGUGUGCCUCAGGUCAAGUGAAGCGGCAGCAUGCAGCACACUUGAAAGAUCACGUCUUCCUCUGUUUUUAACACCAGUUACGGGCUACAGCGCCAAAUAAACAUGAAUGAAUGCCAAAGGGUCUGUAAACAGAUACAGGACAAUUUACUGACAUUAAUCCUGUCACAUGUAAUCGCUCAAUCAGUGUUUCAGCUGUACUUCAGAGACGUCACAAACAGCUCGUCAACAAGAUGUCAUGUUUCUCAUCAAAUCCAUAUUCAGGGACCAUGAACUUGGUAUUCAGCUAGAAAAUUACUUCUGGAGAGGAGCAUUUUGAUAAAUAAAUACACCAUAUUACAUUCAUUGUAAUGUUUAAUCAAUAUUGUUGUUGUACUUUAGGAUAGUUGGUGAAAUAAUGGCAGUGAGCAUUACUCAGGAUGGACCUUUUUCAUGGAGUGGAUUUACAAUUUCAUUUCUUCCGGGAGAUUAAUAAAGAUGAGCUGACAUAACAGAUGCAGACCUGCUAGAUCUGAUUGACAAGAUUGAGUCUGCAGACACUACAGCCUUGCUUGAGCUUUCUGAAAGAAUCGUAGCAUGUGGUACACAGGAUCCUAACAUGUGAUGAAAGGAAGACAUUGUCAGGAGUGAGGACUUUGACAGAACGGGGCACAAUGUCCGGCUUAAAGAUGGUGCUGUGCCAAACAUUUUUAACUUUCCAGCUCAUCUUCAAAGGGUCUGUGUAUCACUGACCAACAAUAACUCAAGGUGGCUGGAAUAACAACCCUAAUGCCGUCCAGUUGAAGCACAUCUUUAGGAAGCUGAUGUUAAACAGAGGCAAUGUGACGGCACAGGAUGAGUCCCUACCAGCUGUCCUCAACACCUCUUCAAGCCUGUCAGCUGUAGAUAUGAGGAAAAGAUCUUCCAUCCCUGUUUGCUGACAUUCCUGCCCUAGUACAUGACCACAUUUACCUUCCCGUCUGCUUCGACGGUCUUGUGGACAACGCUCUCUUGUACAUUUCAGGUAAAGACUGACUAAAAGUCGAUCAUCGUGGUGACAGACACUGAAUCUGCCAUCAAGGACCAGAGCUAUAGUCAUAAUGCAGUGUCAUAAGUACAUCUCUGACGUUUAUAACAAACCAAACAGUUUGAAAAUUGGUAGAAAAUUGAGCAAGUUAUGAUUAUUUAAAAAGUACAUGCACCAUUAAAACACAAUGUUAGAGCAAACAAACUCAUGGUUU
Long non-coding RNA from Carassius carassius (crucian carp), 1361 nucleotides. RefSeq lists it as uncharacterized. NCBI's taxonomy places the organism in Eukaryota, Metazoa, Chordata, Actinopteri, Cypriniformes, Cyprinidae. The transcript has 4 exons. The record is from RefSeq and is a predicted model, not a curated record.